Molecule: long non-coding RNA, 718 nt
Filed under: Nicotiana tabacum (common tobacco)
Lineage: Eukaryota; Viridiplantae; Streptophyta; Magnoliopsida; Solanales; Solanaceae
Description: long non-coding RNA (NTAB_LNC002707)
Source: RNAcentral
UUUCUACAUUUUUUUAAAGAAAAAGCAAUUCCUAUUAAAUAGGUAUAUACAUACAUUUUGAAACCUUCAAAACGGCAACUGGUAACGCCAUUUUCAUCUAUUUGCCCUAAAAAUUUCAUCCUCCAAAUUCGGCACCUCAAACCCACGAUGUCUCACCACGAUAUCAACUCUUUACCCACGAACUGUCGAACUCUUCUGCCCAGGAUUCCAGUAACAUGAUUUCACAUUUUUAUCAAAUCAGUUUUACUUUUACAGUAUAUAGUUAUGUUCUUUCUCCAUCGUGUGCAUAUCAAACAACAAUUCUAGAGUACAAGAGGUGAUUUGUAUGAUUUGUAUUUCAUGAACAAUCUUUAUUCCAGUUGAGAUUGUAUUCCUUUAACAGAUAUUUCCGUGAAGUUUUAGUUUCUACUUAUAUUUACAAAUACCUCUGUCUAUUUCAGGAUAUAAUGGCGGAUGGAAUCAAUUUUGUUACUGAAAUUAACAGCAAGUCAAUGAAUUGGAAGUUAAAGGUUCGUAUUAUCAGGCUUUGAAAAAAUCCGGAUCGCGAUAGGCCUGACAACCCUUUUUUAAUUGAGAUUGUUAUGAUGGAUGAAAAGGUAUUGUUUAAAACUUUAUAAUUACUUUCUAUUUUGUCAUUGUUUACAUAUGCGUAAGUAUAUUACAGUCAUAUACAGAAUAACUUAGUCAUUUUAACUAAUUGAGGUUUUUUGUAGGGCGA